This 497-nucleotide ribosomal RNA is filed under the name uncultured bacterium. Its description in RNAcentral is "partial 16S ribosomal RNA". It matches the Rfam family "Bacterial small subunit ribosomal RNA", at positions 28 to 507 of the family's 1533-position model. The record is from RNAcentral.
GAUGAACGCUGGCGGCGUGCCUAAUACAUGCAAGUCGAGCGAACAGACGAGGAGCUUGCUCCUCUGACGUAAGCGGCGGACGGGUGAGUAACACGUGGAUAACCUACCUAUAAGACUGGGAUAACUUCGGGAAACCGGAGCUAAUACCGGAUAAUAUAUUGAACCGCAUGGUUCAAUAGUGAAAGACGGUUUUGCUGUCACUUAUAGAUGGAUCCGCGCCGCAUUAGCUAGUUGGUAAGGUAACGGCUUAACAAGGCAACGAUGCGUAGCCGACCUGAGAGGGUGAGCGGCCACACUGGAACUGAGACACGGUCCAGACUCCUACGGGAGGCAGCAGUAGGGAAUCUUCCGCAAUGGGCGAAAGCCUGACGGAGCAACGCCGCGUGAGUGAUGAAGGUCUUCGGAUCGUAAAACUCUGUUAUUAGGGAAGAACAAAUGUGUAAGUAACUAUGCACGUCUUGACGGUACCUAAUCAGAAAGCCACGGCUAACUACGUG